RNAcentral lists this long non-coding RNA (651 nucleotides) under Manihot esculenta (cassava). Its description in RNAcentral is "long non-coding RNA (MESC_LNC004981)". Lineage: Eukaryota; Viridiplantae; Streptophyta; Magnoliopsida; Malpighiales; Euphorbiaceae. The record is from RNAcentral.
CUUCUAACAAUGACAUCUUGAAUGCGGAGGACAUCACCCACCAGUCCCCGGCGAGCGUGGUCGCUGAGAUUAUUCGAGAACGGAUGUUUGGUGGGAUCACGGCAGCUUCGGAUCCUCGCCUGCUGGCUCUUUCCGGCCUCCUGGCUAGCUCUACUCAAGAGCAGGUGGCCUUCCGAGUUCGGUCCAGAGAGGACCUCGGGAAUACUGCUAGGGAGCUGCUCUUGAUGGUGAGUCACGCUCGUUCCUUUUCUGUUUCUAAUUUGUUUCUGCCUUUCCUCACCUUUUAGCUUUAUUCGUCUUCCCUUCUACUAGGUCACAGGCAUAUUCAUGGAGAUGGAUGCUCGGGACCGCGCUCUCAAGGAAUCUGUGGACCACCGUAUAGAAGAGGCACGCCUUGAGGAGAACUUAUUCGCGACCAGCGAUGCCCGGGGCAAUCUCGCUGCUGUCCAGGAAGACUACAGGUCCCUUCAGUUUGAUUUGCACAUGGCCUUGGAGGCCCGUAAGAAGGCUGAGGGGGAGACAGCCGAGGCGCAAAAGCAUGCCCAGUCCCUGGAAGCGGAGUUGUCUCACGCCCGGAGGGUUCUCAAGGAAUCUGACGAGAGGGCAGCUGCAGCAGAGGUCCGUUGUGAGGAAGUUCUGAAGCAGCUGUCC